Molecule: ribosomal RNA, 497 nt
Filed under: uncultured bacterium
Lineage: Bacteria
Description: partial 16S ribosomal RNA
Rfam family: Bacterial small subunit ribosomal RNA
Source: RNAcentral
GAUGAACGCUGGCGGCGUGCCUAAUACAUGCAAGUCGAGCGAACAGACGAGGAGCUUGCUCCUCUGACGUUAGCGGCGGACGGGUGAGUAACACGUGGAUAACCUACCUAUAAGACUGGGAUAACUUCGGGAAACCGGAGCUAAUACCGGAUAAUAUAUUGAACCGCAUGGUUCAAUAGUGAAAGACGGUUUUGCUGUCACUUAUAGAUGGAUCCGCGCCGCAUUAGCUAGUUGGUAAGGUAACGGCUUACCAAGGCAACGAUGCGUAGCCGACCUGAGAGGGUGAUCGGCCACACUGGAACUGAGACACGGCCCAGACUCCUACGGGAGGCAGCAGUAGGGAAUCUUCCGCAAUGGGCGAAAGCCUGACGGAGCAACGCCGCGUGAGUGAUGAAGGUCUUCGGAUCGUAAAACUCUGUUAUUAGGGAAGAACAAAUGUGUAAGUAACUAUGCACGUCUUGACGGUACCUAAUCAGAAAGUCACGGCUAACUACGUG